GACGAACGCUGGCGGCGUGCUUAACACAUGCAAGUCGAACGGAAAGGCCCUGCUUUUGUGGGGUGCUCGAGUGGCGAACGGGUGAGUAACACGUGAGUAACCUGCCCUUGACUUUGGGAUAACUUCAGGAAACUGGGGCUAAUACCGGAUAGGAGCUCCUGCUGCAUGGUGGGGGUUGGAAAGUUUCGGCGGUUGGGGAUGGACUCGCGGCUUAUCAGCUUGUUGGUGGGGUAGUGGCUUACCAAGGCUUUGACGGGUAGCCGGCCUGAGAGGGUGACCGGCAACAGGGGGAGUGAGGUCAAGACCGGAGUCCUCCGGGAGGCAGAAGUGCGGGAGAUGGACGAAUGGGUGGAAGCCUGAGGCAGCUACGGCGUGUGAGGGAGGAAGGCUGUCGGGUUGUAAAAAGCUUGCGCCGGUGACGAAGCGUGAGUGACGGGAAUGGAUAAAGAAGCACCGGCUAGCUACGUG
RNAcentral lists this ribosomal RNA (468 nucleotides) under uncultured bacterium. RNAcentral's name for it is "partial 16S ribosomal RNA". It matches the Rfam family "Bacterial small subunit ribosomal RNA", at positions 28 to 507 of the family's 1533-position model. The record is from RNAcentral.